GGCUUCGUAAUUCAAUUGGAUAGAAUGUUAGAUUGCGGAUCUAAAAAUGAAAGUUCAAGUCUUUCCGUGGCCA
Molecule: transfer RNA, 73 nt
Filed under: Chryseobacterium sp.
Lineage: Bacteria; Pseudomonadati; Bacteroidota; Flavobacteriia; Flavobacteriales; Weeksellaceae
Description: tRNA-Arg
Rfam family: tRNA
About the family: Transfer RNA (tRNA) molecules are approximately 80 nucleotides in length.
Source: RNAcentral